Molecule: non-coding RNA, 72 nt
Organism: Phrynosoma platyrhinos (Desert horned lizard)
Lineage: Eukaryota; Metazoa; Chordata; Lepidosauria; Squamata; Phrynosomatidae
Source: the annotation of a GenBank genome assembly
GCCAGCGUGGUAUAGUGGUUCGAGUGUUGAAUUACGACUCUGGAGGAUAGGGUUCAAUUCCCUGCUCAGCCA